Molecule: long non-coding RNA, 1052 nt
Organism: Mya arenaria
Lineage: Eukaryota; Metazoa; Mollusca; Bivalvia; Myida; Myidae
Exons: 3
Source: RefSeq, a predicted model, not a curated record
CAUCCGAGGUUGUUUUCGAUAAAAAUUGGCCGAGGAGCUCCGAAUGCGUAAUUUAAAGCUACGAUAUAAUUUAUCUGUUGAACUAAAACAAUGCAAUGUGACCAUGUAUCGAUUCUUCGCGAGGUAAUGCACCAGUCAAUUGUAACCACGCCCCCACCCCCAAGGUCCGGGGAAUACAUCGAUCCGACCUGUCAAUCAAACUAAUCAUUAUUGACCAAUGAGAAAGCUGCAAAUUAUUCACCGAGUCCCGUCCGCCAUCUUUACCCACAAACACAGCAGCGAUAACUGUUUACAACCGGACAUUUUAUUGAAGUUUUAAGACUGAUUUGUGAAAAUGGUUAAACGACGCGGAUGGGGAAUAUGUUAUGCAGAUUAAGGUAUCCGGAGGGACUAAAUGGAGGCCGAUUUAAACGAUUUCCGACCUAUAAUCCGAUAUUGAGAAGUGCAAAUGCUGGAUUAAAGCCUGUGGACGGCCACAAGAGAAACUGAAUGUCAACAGGAUAAACAAGCACGAAGAUGUCUGCUCGAAGCACUUUCAUGGAAGAAAUGGACAAUCUAAAGAGUAUCCUGACCCACCAUCAGCUGAUGGCUGGAGAAUAACAUCUUCAAGAAAACUCCCCACAAAGCGGUCACUUGGAAAGGAAACUUAUGGCAGCAUUUAUACACAAAAUGCAAGUGUAUGCAUUUAAUACAAGAUAUCACAUGCCUAGAAAAGCUGGUCCAGGAUCCUGCAGACACUGUACCAGGAGUAGAAACACAGACCGAAUGUCCAUGUAAGUGAAACCAACACUCUAACAAUGCCUAUGAUCUUGUUGUCAGUUCUGUUUUACUUGGGUCUUCACAGGUUGUGUGGUAUUUAACGGUGUGAACUCUUUCGGUAAAUCAAUAGGUGCUGCAUUUCAAACAGAGGUAUUCCCACACUCUUGAGAAAUGCAAUAGUUAAAAUUUGUUUAAAUAUUAUACAGGAAUCAUAUGAUUUUAUUUCUGCUUCUUUGAUAUAAUUGAAUAACUGUUAGUUUAUUCAUGUUUGGAAUAAAGCAUUGUAAAGUGAA